UGGGGAAUAUUGCACAAUGGGCGCAAGCCUGAUGCAGCCAUGCCGCGUGUGUGAAGAAGGCCUUCGGGUUGUAAAGCACUUUCAGCGAGGAGGAAGGGUAGUGUGUUAAUAGCACAUUGCAUUGACGUUACUCGCAGAAGAAGCACCGGCUAACUCCGUGCCAGCAGCCGCGGUAAUACGGAGGGUGCAAUCGUUAAUCGGAAUUACUGGGCGUAAAGCGCACGCAGGCGGUUUGUUAAGUCAGAUGUGAAAUCCCCGCGCUUAACGUGGGAACUGCAUUCGAAACUGGCAAGCUAGAGUCUUGUAGAGGGGGGUAGAAUUCCAGGUGUAGCGGUGAAAUGCGUAGAGAUCUGGAGGAAUACCGGUGGCGAAGGCGGCCCCCUGGACAAAGACUGACGCUCAGGUGCGAAAGCGUGGGGAGCAAACA
RNAcentral lists this ribosomal RNA (427 nucleotides) under uncultured bacterium. RNAcentral describes it as "partial 16S ribosomal RNA". It matches the Rfam family "Bacterial small subunit ribosomal RNA", at positions 355 to 774 of the family's 1533-position model. The record is from RNAcentral.